AUUAGCGAGGGAAAGAUCAUUUUUUCAAACUGUAUUUUAUUUUAUUACUGUUUAAAAUUGAAGUAUAGUUGAUUUAUAGGAUGUUAGUUUCAGGUGUACAUCAAAGUGAUUCAGUCAUAUAUAUAUUCUUUUUCAGAUUCUUUUCCCUUAUAGGUUAUUACAAACUACUGAGUAGAGUUCCCUGUGCUCUACAGUAGUUCCUUGUUGGUUAUCUAUUUUAUACGUAGUAGUAUGUGUAUGUUAAUCCCAAACUCCUAAUUUAUCCCUUCCCCCCUUCCAAACUGUAUUUUAAAAUUCAUUUUCUUUAUCACACGUGUGCGUGUAUAUGUGUGUUCCUAAGUACCUUUAAAAAUUUUUCUCCAUACAAUUGCCGCAUGUUUCACGUUUAAGAAGAAAUGUCUCCUGUUUGACAUCUCCUUCCCUGUCUUCUCCAGCUCACCACAAACAACUUCUUUAAAAAUUCAAGAUGGAAAGGAGGUUUGAUCUUUAGUUGGACCUGAUACUGGCAUUUUACAUGUGAUGCCGAAAUAAAGGAAUGCUGUGAUCUAUCUUAGAUUGGUUGACUCUAUAAAAGCAGGAUCACAUAAUUUGUAAUUUCAAACUCGCUUAACUUUAAAAUCACAUUGAAUCCAUGCAUAUGGAAUGAUUUUUUCAAAACAUUGGCUUCUACUUUGUCCAUAAUCCAGGAGAAAGAAAAAUAAGAGGAAGUGAAGGGGCAUGUGGGAUCUCAGCUCCUUGAGCAGGGAUCGAACCUGCACCUCCUGCAUUGGAAGGCGAAGUCUUAACCACUGGACUGCCAGGGAAGUUCCUCAAAUAAAUGUUAUUUAUUUACACCUUGCUCCCAGAAGGACUAUAGAUGGAAUAGCUCUGCUAGAGAUUCCAUGAUCUAAAUGGUCACUUAUGAAACUUAAUAAAAAGGAGAAUUGAAUAUAAGAAUACCAGAUUCCAGCUGAGUAUUUACUUACAAUAAUAAAAUUAUCUCUCUUUUAUAGAAGAUUCACUGAGUAGUAGGAACUAGCAGUGAUUGAUGCUUUUACAUCUUUGCCACAGUUAAAUGAGCACAUUUAAUUUUGGAACGCAGCUUCUUAAACAUUUUAUAUCCUUCCCACCCCAAGUACCUUGGCAGAUUUAACUUGGGCUAAAGUUGAACUCCCCUCAGUUGGAGCCUGGGGUUACGUGACCACAAUCGAAUUCCUAAAGAAAUGGAAAGUUUCCCAUGGGAAGCAUCUGUCUAAGUUAUUCUUUCCCCCGUGACCAUUGUUUAGACUAGGUUUAGAAGAACUAUAGACUGCUUCAAAUCAAUUCCAAUGCCAGAGACCAAAGAAAGCAUUAGAUCUUUGAACAAAAAUGUAAUAAUCAGAUAAAAAUGCAGUCAACCUUGUGCUUGUUUCAUCGUGGUCACAAAAAUGUCACCACAGCUCCAGACAUCAAAUCUGUGUUUAAGGCAGGAGGAAGGAGAGAGGAGUCAACUCUCUUCUUUUACUUUAUUAGGAUCUACACUAUCUUUUCUACCAUCCCUCUUGCAAACUUUCCUUGACAUUUUAUUGGUCAGAACUGGGUCACAUGGUUUUCCCCUCGCCUACAAAUAUCUCUGGGAAAGUGAGUAUUGACUUUUCAUUCUCUGUAGCAGGGGUCAGCAAACUUGAAGACUGAGACAGUAAAUAUGUUAAGCUUUGCAGGUCAUUUGGUCACAACUACUCACCUCUGCCAUGUGAUGCAAAAGCAGCCAUAGAUAAUGUGUACAUGAAUUAAUGUGACUGUGUUCCAAUACAACUUUAGUUGUGAACAAUGAAUUUUGAAUUUCAUGUCAUAUUCAUGAAGUAUUAUUCUUCUUUUGAUCUUCCUUCCACCAUUUAGAAGUGUGGAAAUCAUCCUUGGCUCCCGGGCUCUACAAACACAGAACCCCAUUGCUCUGUGUGAGAGGAGGGUGUGAAUGGCUUUGGAAGGCCCACCAUGCGUUGCAGCAAAUAGGCCCUGUACCCUGAAUACAGAUUAUUGAAAAGUGCUGACAUGUUCAGUCUAUGAAGCAGACAUUAAUUUUCCUGAGAGCAACAAAAGACACCUGCUUCCCAGUCAUGUUCCUUGUCAUGAACAAAGUGAAGUUUACCAGAUACAUUUAACUCAGGAAAUCUGUACUGCUGAUUUCCUGGAUCAGGAAGCCUUAUAUAUUUUACAUAUUUUGUUUCAAGUUGCCCUGUAGUGACUGCAAAACUGGAUCAGACUCUACAUGAGAAAACUCUAGAACAGUCUAGAACUGUAACCAGAAAAUUAUUGACACUAUAACAAAAGCAUUUGCAUAAUCCCUCAAAGGUCUGUUUGCAUCAACUUCAUAAAAAUUCAGAGGCAAAAUUACCCUAGAUACUAGUUAAAACAGGAGAGUGA
Molecule: non-coding RNA, 2382 nt
Organism: Kogia breviceps (pygmy sperm whale)
Lineage: Eukaryota; Metazoa; Chordata; Mammalia; Artiodactyla; Physeteridae
Source: RefSeq, a predicted model, not a curated record